UCUAAUAUGGCAUGGCAGAUUAGUGCAAUGGACUUAAACCCCGUACAUAAAAUCUUAUUGAUUUUUUUUAGAA
This 73-nucleotide transfer RNA is filed under the name Agrilus sp. AGR01. RNAcentral's name for it is "tRNA-Leu". Lineage: Eukaryota; Metazoa; Arthropoda; Insecta; Coleoptera; Buprestidae. The record is from RNAcentral.